RNAcentral lists this ribosomal RNA (468 nucleotides) under uncultured bacterium. RNAcentral's name for it is "partial 16S ribosomal RNA". It matches the Rfam family "Bacterial small subunit ribosomal RNA", at positions 28 to 507 of the family's 1533-position model. The record is from RNAcentral.
GACGAACGCUGGCGGCGUGCUUAACACAUGCAAGUCGAACGGAAAGGCCCUGCUUUUGUGGGGUGCUCGAGUGGCGAACGGGUGAGUAACACGUGAGUAACCUGCCCUUGACUUUGGGAUAACUUCAGGAAACUGGGGCUAAUACCGGAUAGGAGCUCCUGCUGCAUGGUGGGGGUUGGAAAGUUUCGGCGGUUGGGGAUGGACUCGCGGCUUAUCAGCUUGUUGGUGGGGUAGUGGCUUACCAAGGCUUUGACGGGUAGCCGGCCUGAGAGGGUGACCGGCCACAUGGGGGCUGGGAUGGGGCCCAGACUCCUCGGGGGGGAAGGGGGGGGAAAUUUUGCACAAGGGGGGGAGGCCGGAUGAAGCAACCCCGGGUGCGGGAGGGCGGCCUUCGGUUUGGAAACCGCUUUCCCCUGUGACGAAGGGGGAGUGAGGGUAGGGGGAAAAAAAGCACGGGCAAACUCCGUC